GAUGAAAAGAAUGUAUAUUCUGCAAUUGCUGGGUAGAAUGUUCUGUAAAUGUUUAUGUUUAUUCUGUCUAAAGUUCAGUUUAAAUUCAGUGUUACUUUGUUAACUUUCUGUCUAGAUGAUUGUCUAAGGCUGAGAGUGAGGUGAAUAAGCCUCCCACUAUUUCUGUUAGGCCUGUUUGAAAAAAAUACACCUGGGAUCUCCAAAGAUUGCAUUAUGUUCAAUUAGGAAGAAGAUAUGAUGGUUGAAGUUACAAGGAAUCCAUGUUGUAACCAGGAGCUGAUCUUGAUCAAUGGAGCUACAUAAAGCAUGUUGAAAUGCAAAGAAAGAUAGAAGGAGCCUGUGGUACCGAAAACAUUGAGGAUUCUCUGAACCAGCCUUGGCUACCCCACCAUUUA
This is a long non-coding RNA of Symphalangus syndactylus (siamang), 395 nucleotides long. RefSeq lists it as uncharacterized. Lineage: Eukaryota; Metazoa; Chordata; Mammalia; Primates; Hylobatidae. The record is from RefSeq and is a predicted model, not a curated record.